GGAUGCGAUCAUACCAGCACUAAAGCACCGUACCCAUCAGAACUCUGAAGUUAAGCGUGCGUGGGCGAGAGUAGUACUAGGAUGGGUGACCUCUUGGGAAGUCCUCGUGUUGCAUUCC
RNAcentral lists this ribosomal RNA (118 nucleotides) under Triticum aestivum (bread wheat). Lineage: Eukaryota; Viridiplantae; Streptophyta; Magnoliopsida; Poales; Poaceae. The record is from RNAcentral.